GUUAAUUCAAUUUGUCAAUAACUUUCAGUGUAAGGUCUUCAUUUAUCUCGAUUGAAUGAUGGCUCCUCGUUCCGUGGACAAUAAUUGGAAGAAAAUUUGAUCUCUCAUUUAUUUCCAUGCUUUGAAAUCAUUGGUAUUCAGAAGUUUCCAUAGGGACAUACUCAUCAAAUAGAUUUGAGCAUGGUAGGGAAAAUAGCUAUGGUUUUUCCUCUCCUUCUCUGAUUUCUUACACUUGCAUAGAAUCCCUUAACUACUUCAGAAACUCGAGAGCGCAGAAAAGUUCAGCUAAUGGAACAACCAAGCCAAAGAACAACGGGAAGAAGCCUAGGAAGACCAGCACCUGCAACUCAAGGCCGCCCACUCUCAGCAGAUGAUAUCCAAAAAGCAAAAAUGCGAGCACAGUUUAUGCAGAGUAAAUAUGGGAAACCUAAUAAUGAUGAGAGUUCUCGGGUGAAGCCUCAAGCUCCAAAUGGAAUUACCUCUUCACCAAAUGGUAUCUUGCUUGGAGCUCCAAAAUUUCAAGAUCGGCCUAAAGUUGAGGAAUGUGAAAAGCUCAAUAGUGUUGCCUCUAAUGGGCCCAAUCAGCUGGAAAAUCAUCUCAAGUUGAGUUUUGACAUAGAGGAACCUCCAUCGAAAAGGUGCAAGAAAAUGCAGAUCCCUUGGCGGAAACCACCAGGUAAAUUUGCUGUUGUUGUUGCUGAAAGACCGUUCUUGUUAAUCUGUAGAUUUCAGAAAAGGAGGAACAUUAGUUUUUUUAAUAGGUUGAAAAGGCAAUCUCACCCAUCUUGUCUAAUAUUAUUGCUCAAUUUUUUCUCCACAAUUCCCUUCAUUAUUCUUUUUGCUUUCUCUGUCCCAAUUUAUGUGACACACUUUCCCUUUUAGUCUGUUUAAAAAAGAAUGUCACCUGCCCCCAAUGCCUAGCUCAAGUGGCAAAAGGUGGAGGAUUUGUGGCUUAGGUCGCAGGUUCAAGUCCCACACCAUGCAAAGCGAAGUCCGGUAUUUAAGUGGAGAAGGGUAGAGGGGCGGGCCCAUUAUCCACCGAGUUUAAAAGUCUGUGAUUGGUCCAAAGGGCGGGUCACAGACGGAUUACUCGGUUAUCAAAAAAAAGAAAAAAAGAAUGUCACCUUUCUAUAAUUAGAAACUAUUUAACUUUAAAAUUUUACUUUUACCCUUUUGACAUGAUUUAUAGCCACACAAAUGGUCAAGGUUUAGACCACACAUUUCAGAAAUUUUCGUUUCUUUCUUAAACUUUGUGCCAAGUGAAAUGGUGCCACAUAAAUUGGGACGGGAGUGAGUAAUACACAGGAUUCAACUGUGAGAAUUGUCUCUAGUAAAGUAGUUAGCAACUCAGCCUUGGUCUCUAACUUGCCAUACAAUAUGGUUAGCAUGGUCUUCAACUUGUCAGAAAAAAGAAAAGAAAAGGAAAAUAAUUUUUUUUUGAGCUUUGCUCUCUAAUUAUAUUUUCAUGGUAGUUGAGCUAAAGACGAUCAGGUUUCUGUUGUCUUCCAUAAGUUCAUUAUUCUAGGAACUAAUUACUGGGGAAAUAUAGAUGUGGCUUAGUAAAACUACUAGCUCAACUCUAGAAAUAUCUCUGAAGCGAACUGUUAGUUUUCAUUGUUAAACUAUCAAUUGGGCAUAUUAGGAGUGAGGUCUUGAUCUUUUAAUCACAAUAAGCAACUGUUUCCAUUUGGUUUUUAUUGUUGUAUUUCGAAAAUCUCUUGGAAGUUAUGGGUUUUCUGUGGAGCAGUUGAUUGCCAAGUGUGCCUUCUCAUUGUGAAGGAAAUCCUACUUGCAAGUAAAGGGAAACUUUUUGCCUGACACGGAUGAAAACGUUCCACAUUAUGCUUAAAAUCAAUCAGACAGGAAUAAUCAGAAAAAGAAGCAGUGGAGUAAAGGUUAAUGGUACUUUUAUAGGAGACCUGUCUUAGGAAAAUAUCAAUCUAUUUUUUGAGUUAACCGCUUAUAGUGUGCUUUUAUUGAUGAUCAGUAUGAGAGGCCAGAACACGAUAAAUUAGGUGGGAAUAUACUGUACCUCAUAAUCUUUUAUACUUUUGACUCUUCAUUGCCAUAUGCUCUUUACAAAAGGCUCAACAGUAUGGAGUUCAGUAAUUUUUUGUUUUCUCUGUUUGCUUGUUUUAAAAUUUGUGGACAAUGGUUUACACUAAAAUUUUUGUGGAAAAUGGUUUACAAUAAAAUUUUUGUGGACAAUGGUUUACACUAAAGGAUAAAAACAAGUCAUUUUCUGCUGUGAUACCCUUUCUAUCUUUAGAAUUUUACUCUCUUCUAGUUUUACAUCUACAGACUAUUAUCAGCCCUUACCAUAACUACCCAUUGUCCUGCAAAAUUUUUAGGGGUCGUUUGUGUUAGUUAUGUUGGGAUUAGUUAUGCCUCUAUUAGUUAUCCUGGUAUAAUUUCUUAUUGACUGUUCAAUUUUUUUGUAUUACAAAUAACAUGCAUUGGAUAAUUUUUAAGUUAAUUGUUUACAAAAAUACCCUUCAACUUAUUAGUUGAAAAAGGGUUUGAGGGACCUCAUGGGUAUUUUUGUCAUUUUUUAUCUCGGAAUAACUGAUUCCGGUACUGUUCCACCCUCCAAUAGGGAUAAUCUAUUCCGGUACUAAUUACUAAUUUCGGCAUAACUUAUCCCAAGACUAGUAUCCAAACAAGGAAUAAGGCACUACUAAAUUUAUCUCUGGACUAUGUAUGCUUGUUCAGUAGACUAGGCGAUCCUUAGAGAAUGUAAUAUUAUUACAGGGUGUUAUCAUCUAUCAGAAUUUUAGUUUGGUCAAACAUUGAAGCUAGUUUUGGCACGACAUGUUAAUGAAGCCAAAUGUGUGUUCCUAUUUUUCUAUCGUUUGGGGUUUGGAUUUUUUUUUGUUGUUGAUGAAAAUGGUUAAGAUAUAGGUGUGUUUGGCACUGAUGGGAAAGUUAUUCGCAAAAAAUGUUUUAGUCAAGGAAAAUAUUUUGUAGUGCUUAAUUGCAUUCAAUCGUGGAAAAUAUCUUAUGCCUAAUGGGUUCAUUUUUCUUUACAAAAUAUUCUACCAUUCAAUCAACACUAAGUGUAGUUUGGUAGCUGGUUUGGAGGUGAGUUAUGCACGUAUAAUUUUGCAUAAGUAAUACCAUGUCCCAGCAUUACUAAUACACCAUAUUGAUACUUUUCUUAUACUUAACCAAACGAUCUGUCAGAUAUAAUUUCAGUAUCUAAUUCUAAAAGAUAUCGUCAAAACUCUAAUAGCAUACCUUGCAGUCUUGCACAUUGCACGAUUACUACGACUAUCUAUUAUUAUACCCACAAACAUUGGAGAUGAUCUAAAAAAUGGUGACCUGACUUAAAAGAUGUUUUUCACAAAAAAGUAUUUUCAUCUAAAACGUUUUUCUCUGUACAGAGAGCACCUUAGAAAAGAAAAUGUCUUCUUUAAAGGCGCGAACAAGUAAUUGCCUGCUCUUCCUAUAGCUGCCUUACUGUCAUCAAUGACUGUUCCCUUUCAUCAGCUCUUGCUGUUGAACUCUUCCUCACCUUCACCCGAUCACAGUUGGCAUGAAGGAAAAUUUUGGGAUGAUGAAAAUUUUAUGUAAUUCAUUGAUAAGUUUCUUACCUUGUCUAUCAAAAACAACUUUACCCUCCUUAGCUUUCAUUUGUGGGAUUACAUUGUGUUUGUUGUUGUACUUUUUAUUUACUGGUUAGAUAUCAAAAGAUCAUAUUAGAGAUUGGCGUGAGGGGUGGGUGGGUUCUUUGUCCAAAAAGAAAAUUUGAAAGCAGGAUGGAUAUAUGAGAUUUGUUGAUCUGCAGAGAAUGACUAACCCCAACCACAUUCCCCCGUGGAGUGGCAUUCAUCAGACUAACAACAACGGUUGCUGCAGAUUAUAAGAUCUUUCUUAUGGGUCUAAAUUGUAGAGAUAGGAUAUUUGCAGUGUCAGUUACUUAUCCCCCCCCCCCCCCCCCCCCCCCCCCNNNNNNNNNNNNNNNNNNNNNNNNNNNNNNNNNNNNNNNNNNNNNNNNNNNNNNNNNNNNNNNNNNNNNNNNNNNNNNNNNNNNNNNNNNNNNNNNNNNNNNNNNNNNNNNNNNNNNNNNNNNNNNNNNNNNNNNNNNNNNNNNNNNNNNNNNNNNNNNNNNNNNNNNNNNNNNNNNNNNNNNNNNNNNNNNNNNNNNNNNNNNNNNNNNNNNNNNNNNNNNNNNNNNNNNNNNNNNNNNNNNNNNNNNNNNNNNNNNNNNNNNNNNNNNNNNNNNNNNNNNNNNNNNNNNNNNNNNNNNNNNNNNNNNNNNNNNNNNNNNNNNNNNNNNNNNNNNNNNNNNNNNNNNNNNNNNUUACCUCCCCCCCCCCCCCCUCCCCGCGCACACCCCACAAACAACGUCAGCACAUUGUAGCAAAGAAAAGGUGUAAAUAAACUCAUAAAAGCAACAUGGGUGCUGCCUGUAGAUGUAUGUUUCCGAAGGCCAAAUGCAAUCUGUCUUCUGCAUAUGUAGGCAGCAAUACUAACAUCCAACAAACUUCUUCCAUGCACAUAUGAUUCCAAGAGGCCAACUCCAAAUUUGAAGCUUAACAAAAUUGUAGUUUGAUGUUGGAUUGGUUGUUUCUUGUUGAGCUCCAAAAUUGUGGACAGGGAAAACAAUCAAGUGUUUCAAAUGUUAAUGGUGGUACGGACAUGGUUAUCCUUUUGAUGUUGGAUGCCAUGUGAUUAUUUUGUUUUAUUAUCUUUGCGGAGACAAAACUAGGGUUGACAAACAGCAGCUCUUUUAUGUAGCUCAAGGUCUUGAUCAGUUUACCAUGUGUUGUUGGGUCCGGUUAUUCAACGUUGAUACUCAUAUAAUUCUGGCCCUUCUACCCUCCCCUCCUCCUUUCAGUUCCCGGCUCGAUGUGUAGAAAAUCCAGGAUGGAAAAUUGCAGACUCAUCAUUUUCAUUUUGAGGAUAAAAAAUAGCUGUGUAAUCACCAGUUUUGUUACUUUUCAGUAUGUCUUACUGUGUCUGAAGUUGCAAAUAACUUUUAAAAACAACAUUUCUAAGUGGUAAUUGUUGCCUUGUGGUUUAACAAAUUUGAAUAGUCCACAGCUGCUAGUAUCUAGUUGGGAGAUAAUGUACGCAUGCAAAAAUUUGAACUCGUCUGUUAAUGGGUCAUCCUUAUUCAAGCUUUUCUGUUUGAUGCAGAAAUGCAGCCCAGCGAUGCAUGGAAGGUUUGUGCUGGGGGUGAGAGUAAAGAAGUCGACGUUCAGAAUAAGAGAAUCCGUCGAGAGAGGGAAAUCAUUUACAGGACAGUCCAGGAAAUUCCAUUGAAUCCCAAGGAACCUUGGGACCGUGAAAUGGACCCUGAUGACACAUUAACCACAGAACUCCCGCUUGAGCAAUUACCAGAUGCAGAAGGUGCUGAAACAGGUGUGUUGCCGCAGGAGGACAGAGAAACUGAAACUGCUGCAUUAGCCAGUACGUCAAAUGGCAUUGCAACUACAGCAGAACCUGAUGUAGAGUUGCUUGCUAUACUGCUAAAACAUCCAGAGCUGGUUUAUGCUUUGACGUCUGGCCAAGGUGGAAACUUGUCCAGUGAGCAAAUUGUAAAGCUGCUUGAUUCGAUCAAAGCCGAUGGGAGGAAUUCACUGAGCAUUCAAACAAAUUUAGCCAGAGACGCUGAGAAGAAAGUUGAAGUUUCUCUUCCGUCCCCCACUCCUUCCAGUGAUCCUGGAACGGUGCGUUAUUUAGUCACAUUUUGUACAGAUUUCAACUAUUAUGGAAUUUGGGCGGGGCUUUCGUUUCCUCAGUUGUCUCCUCUCCUCUCUCUUUCCCAUUUUUUUCUCCACUUCUCAUUUAUAGUUUUUCCAGACAAGUAAACGAGAAACAAAUAAACAAAUAAAUAAAAUAAUCAUAAAGCAAAUGAAGCCUGGACUCUGAAUCACGUUGGUAAAUACAAGUUGUCUUCCUAGUUAGCACUGUACUUUGAGAAUUUCCGCUUAGUUCGAGGUCUCCUUAACACAAACAAGGAUGUUUCAAAUAAAACAAAAUACUUAAAUAAUAUAGUGGGUUAAUUGUAGUGCUAUACUAUCUUCUUGACAUCUUAGUACUUUUCUGAAACGGGCUCUAAUUUUUUUCAACUUUUUUUUUUGGUCUUUCAUGCAGAGUGGAUUGUCGAUGCAGAACUUUGCUAAAAACCCUUUCUCGCAGAGAAGUUCAAUGGUGGUUCCAGAAGCAAAUGGUGUACAUCAACACGCUGCAUUGGUCUAUUCGCAGGAAACGCUUCAACCUAGCAGUUUGGUGCAUCAGCAGGUCCCCCUUGCGCCACAAUUAGCCCAACAGUUGGCACUGCUUCAAGCAGCUGCAGGGUCUUAUGGAAAUGAUCAUCGACCAUCUCCUCUAAAUCCUAGUAUAAACCAGACAGUCCUUACAAAUCCUAUGCAUUCACAAUUUUCCGCCACCUCAGAACCAGCAGUAAAUAGAAAUAAUUACUCUCCCUUUGGAUUGACGGAAUACAAUCAACAGAGCGCCACUGCAGCAGCAACAGCAACAGCAAGAAUCCAAGGUGAAACAUAUGGUAAUAUUCGAUCUUCGCAAAUGUCUAUAGCUAAUGUGCAACAAAGAACUAUUAGCCUACAUGCACCUCAAAUGACACCACAAAGGCCACAACUACAAACACAGGCGCAACCUGGAUAUGCACCUGAACAUAUGUGGGGGACUAUACCCGGAUCUGCUUUAAAUCGGGGUUAUCAAGAAAAUGCCAUUCCUAAUCAUUACAAUCCACAUGUUGCCGGACAUGUAGAACCAGGAUUACAACAGGCUGCAUGGAGAGGAAACAGCAACUAUUCCGAGGGAGCUGGGUUUGAAUCUUGGAGUCCUGAUAAUAGUCCUGUUAGGCGUCAGGAACAGGUUGCAAGAUGGAAUUACACACAACCUCAGAUGAAUAUGAGAGACAACUACAGACCUGAUUGGUCUGCAUCGCGUAAUCCUGGGCAUUAUUCUGGUUAUCGUGGUCCUGACGAUGGUGGUAAUAGGAGGUGGGGUGACAGGAGAAGAUAACCUUCAAACGGCUGGCCAUUUGAUUCUUUUGACGAGUGAUUCAUUAGUGUUUACAUUAGAGUAGAGCGUUCUCAGAGGGGGUUGCAUUUUUGCAACGUGAAAUGGUUGUAAACUUGUAAUGUCAGCAUGUCACAUCACUUUAUUUUGUUUCCCAAUUGGUACCUGUCAACAGAAAAAUAGAAAAUAGGAAUUCAGUUCACUUGGGAUCAUGCCAAGAUUCUUUAGAAAAAAAAAGAAGAAAUUUAUCCUAGUCAAGGGAUUGCUAUGUCUUGGUUGUGUCCCUACUUAAAAUGCUGGGAAUAAGUUAUUUCGAGAUUAAUUAUUUUGAGAUAACCUAAGGAAAAUAUUUUUAGGUCUGCCUACUAUUUUCUAAUCAAAUGCAGGAUAAAAUAAUUCUGCAUUGUAUUUGUGGGAUUAUUAUACGUUAUAUAUUACACGAGACGAUUUCUUAUGAACUUAAAAUUAAAGAAUUACUAAAAAAUAAAAGUGUCAUUCUUUUUUAAACACACUAAAAAAGAACAAAGAACGUAUGUUAAACAAAUUGAAAUGGAGGCUAGAGGUAGUAUUAAUACUCAUUCUGUACUAAUUUAUGAGGCAAAUUUAUACUUUAUUAUUGGCGGAUGAAAAUGAAGUACAUGAUUUUUUUAAAGUUAUAUUUGAAUAAAUUUUAGGGAACUUAUUAGUUACAGUUCCUAGUAUCUUCUAUAGGCAAACUGGCGAAGUAUCUGAUUCUCUCUUGCUCACAGCUCAUGCUAACGACUAAUUCUCAACGGCGAAAAUCGGUACUUGACCAAUUACAACUACUCGCCGGCGUUUCACAUCAUUUCUUCAUCGGAAAACUUCAACAGUAGUCGGAGCAACUCUCCAAUUUGAUCCAGCUGAAGAAUCUCUAAAUAUGGUAGCUAGAUUCAUCACAAGCAGUCUAAAUCGAAUACGAAAAACCUACUCAAUAUCACCAACUAUCAGUAGGCACAAUUACGAUUUCACUCCUCUAUAUGUAUCUCUGAGUUUCUAAUUCGGUGCUGACGAUUCAGCUACACGUGUUGUGAAUCCGAGUUUCAUGCUUCACAAUAUAUGGCAUACGGGCGAUUCAUAUUCUCAUCAUCAUGUCCAUCAUGACGUCCGCUCCGGUAUGACGGAGAGAAGAUUUUCUGGCUUGGACUUGCUGCUGAUAUUGGCCUUGCCGCCAGAAAAGCUUUUACAGGUUAAGUAUGUGGAAGCACCGCCAUUAUUGCUGAUGCGGCUCAUUCUAUCUCCGAUGUGGUAUGUGUGACGUAUCUAUUGAUGUUUAUUGUUUAUCUAACUUUAAUCUAUAAAAAUGAACUCUGACUUUAAUCUCUUGACCAUUUGACAAUAGAGGUUGUGAGUUUCCAGAAAAUGAGCAACAUAAAAUCUGGUUUUACUUUCUAUUAAACAAGUCGAACAUAAGUUUGAUAGAACUUGAUAAACCAGCAAAAAAGUUAUUGAUGAAAGCAAACUGGAUACUUCAUUAUAAAUUCCAGACUAAUUAAUAGAGUUCACAAUCUCAACUGAAAUAAAACAAAAUAACUUCUAAGAAUUAGGGAUAAAACUGCUACACAGAUUACAGCGAACUUAGACUGUUGCAGUUUUUAUGCAUUUUUGUAACACUCUUUGCUUUAAGACCUGCAAACUCCAAGGUUUUGCAUGAGAAGUUAAAUUUGUUGCCUGGUAAACGCUUGGUGAAGAUAUAAGCCUGCUGGCCCUCAUUUUUGCAAUAGAGAAAACUCACAUCACCAUUUUUUUGCAUUUCUCUUAUGAAGAAAAGCCUGAUAUUGAAGUGUUUAGGUUUACCAUGAAAUAUAGGAUUGUGAGAAAUUGCAAUCGCAAAUUGGUUGUCCACAUAUACUUCAGUUCCUUUUGUUUGAUUCAUAUGCAUUAUCAACCAAUAUUUUCCUCAACCACAACACUUGAUUCACUGCUGCUAUUGCAGCCACAAAUUCUGCCUCUGUAGUGGAUUGAGCCACAAUGAGCUACUUCAUUGAUUAUCAUGAAAAAAAUACCUAAACCACAACACUUGAUUCACUGCUGCUAUUGCAGCCACAAAUUCUGCCUCUGUAGUGUUGAGCCACUAUGAGCUACUUCUAAUGCUUUGUUAUGGCCUUUGCAGGUUCUGUGUGGUGUGUCAUUGCUGUCCUUUCAAGCUGCAAGGGUUCCCAAGGACAAAGAACAUCCAUGUGGUCACUCUUAAUUUGUAUCUACACGUAAACUCUUUUGAUCUUACAUCACUUUCUGUACAUGGCUUUAUCUUUUGAUUUUGUGCUUGUGUUUACUUGUGUAAUAGGUGGAUGUAAUAGCUGCCAACGUAAUUAGAUUUAGUUAACUGAGGACUGUUCGUUCCCGUGGUUGAUUUGAUAAAAUUAACCAAUAUAUGAUAUUGUAAUAGAGGUGAUAUGAUAUGAAUGUUAUAUCAUAUCUUCUAUAUUUAUCAAUGAAUACAAAUCUUAUCAACUUUACGUCUUAGUGGAAGGCAGACAGCCCUAGAAACAUGUAAAUAUGAGACUCUUCGAGCUCUUGGAAUUUCUGGUGUGCUGUUGGCUACUGCUGGUGGCAUAGGAUGGCAUGCUUUAGAUGUUUUGCUGGUAUGUAUCUAUGGCUAGUAUUCAUUAUGUCUAGGAGUCUAUAUUCCCAUUGUUUGAAAUUUUUUGAGACAUUUCUUGCAGGGAUUGUGGUCUGCAGCCUCUGAAGUUGUUAAUCAGUCAAUGACUCCUCUGCACGUGCAUGAGCAACAUCAUCAUGGAAUUGAUAUGGAUCACCCUAUCCUUGCUUUGAGUGUGACAAUACUCUCUAUAGCUGUCAAAGAAGGGUAAGAUUCAUUUUCACCUUCAAUUUGAAAAUUAAAAGAAUUUGUUCCCUUUUCUUUAUGUAUCCAUAUACAUAUUACCUUCAAGCAAUUUUAUUUUUAUGAAAGAGAGUUUCUUUGUAUUGAUUUAUUUUUUAUGAAAGACAGUUUAUUUGUACACCAUCAACGAAUUUCCAUGACCAUAUUCCAGACACCAUCAACUGUAUUUUAUGUUAUGAAAUGCAGUUGCUUUAUAUUGAUUACAAAAGCAAUAAUGAAGCUUCUAUACUUUCUCUCAGAUGCGCGGUAGUAUAGCAGCUUCAUUAAUGAAGCAAAUAAUGAAUCUGUGAGUUUGUUCCUAUAUAUAUGUUCAACUUUUUUCUUGUAGAUCAUACUGGAUAACAAAAAGAGAGGGAGAAAGGGUUGGCAGUGGGUUAAUUGAAGCCAAUGCCUGGCAUCUGCCGAUGCAGUAUCCUCCUUUGUUGGUCUCAUAGGGGAUGGUUGUUGAAUAUUGUUUGAGACGACGGGCACAAUCGACUUCUAACAACUUGAAUUUUAUUAUAUCAAAGUAAGGACUCGCUUCGGUCUUACAAUCUUGAUCACACUUGUUGCUUGCUUUAGCAACACUCUUUAUUUGAGCACACACUUGUUUGCUCUCUUGCUUUCUUACUUACUUGCUUGCUUACUUGGUUUAAUACUUACUUAGUUACAACUAAAAUGGACCACCUCUAUUUAUAGGAGGUGAUAGAAGAAUCUAGUGAUAUACAUACUACUCUAUACUAGAAUAUUUCUAGCUAUUUUUUUCUAGAACUACCUUUUCUAGAACAUUUUUAGACUAUUCUCUCUAGAAUACUCAUUCUAGAGAUCUUCCUUCAAUUCUCUACAACUCCGAAAUAUUCUAGAUUUCUUGAUUUAUCUUGAGUAAAUAAUUAAGUUGGUGAUGAAUUCUUAAUACUCCCCCUAAACACCAACUUAAUUUUUUCUUUGCGUUUGUUGUGAGCGGUUCCUGAAACCUUGCAAGCAUCAUGACGUCCAUGCCCUUUGAGGAUCUCCACUUUCGUUGGAUUAUUUUGAUCCCUACUCUUUGAAGCUUCUUCAAAGGUAGUAGCCUCUUUGAUGUUAACCACCUCAUUAAUGCUGCAUCUAUGUACUUGGUGUUUGGACGCUUCAGUCGAGUAGACCUCCUCAGUUGCCAUUGUGACCCUUUUUGGACUUCUUCUUCUUGCAACUCGUCUGGUGUUUCACAAGCUCCAGUUUGCCAUAAGCUUUUCUUUUCCUUUUGUGGAGAUACCUCCUGGUUAGUUUCAAUCUUGUUCCCUUGUUCUACUUCGUUGAGCUUAUCUUGCAGCUUUUGCUCAAGAGCUAUCGAGUCUGGCAGGGAGACUUCUUUGGACCACCAAGAUGACGCUUCGUCAAAUACCACAUUUCUUGACACAUAUGUCCGAUUAGUGACAAGGUCACAACACUUCUAUCCUUCUAUUUGUUCGUCGUAUCCAACAAAGAUGCACCGAACAACUUUCUUAUCAAAUUUGCUGCGGAGAUGAUUUGGCACGAACACAUAGCACACAUAACCAAAAACUCGAAAGUGACUUACAAUAGGGAUCAUUUUUUUAAGUUUUUCAAAUGGUGAGAUGAAUCUCAAUCUUUCCUGCUGCAGCCUGUUGGUGAUGUGGACAAUAGUUUUCAUGCAUUCUGUCCAAAACCUUGCUGGUACAUUCAUACUAUGUAGCAUACUUUUGCAUAUCUCUGCCAAAUGUCUAUUUUUUCUUUCAGCCACUCCAUUUUGUUGUGGCGUAUUCGGGCAAGUUAACAGUCGUCUUAUCAUCUACUUUUUAAGAUAAUCAUUGAACUCUCGUGACGUGUAUUCUCCCCCAUUGUCCGUACGGAGACAUUUGAUUUUUCUUCCAGUAUCAUUCUCCACAUUAUGUUGGAACCCUUUAAACUUCUCAAAUACUUCUCAUUUCUCUUUUAAUUAGUAAAUCCAUACGUACCAUGAGAAGUCAUCAAUGAAUGCUACCAUGUAACGGUAACCACUGAUGGAGGACUGCUUCACUGGUCCAAACACGUCUGAGUGUACUAGCUCCAAUUGCUUCUUUGCUUGAUACUUUGAUUCUUCAUAGGGAAGUUGAUGUGCUUUCCCAUAUUGACAUCUAACACAUAUAGUGUCUCCUAUAAUCUCAAGUUUGGGAAGACCUUUUAAUUUUGAUUGCUGCAUCAUGAUUUUUAGUUUGUUGUAGCACAUGUGCCCAAGACGUGUAUGCCACAGAUCAGCUGUUUCAUUACUUCGAGUUUUCUCAACAUAAGUUGUCUCGGCUGACAUGACGUAGAUUGAUUCUAACCUUUUUCCUUCCAUGAUUGGUGUGCUUGUAACUUUUAAGUUUCGAUAUACUUUUAUGUCAUUUGGCCCAAACAAGACAUAAUUACCAGAAUCUGUUAGUUGCGAUACAUAUAAUAAGUUUUUCUUCAUACCUGGAACAUGGUAGAUAUUUUGAAGUUCCACUUGCCUCGAGCUAUUAUGAGACACAAACACCGUCUUGCCAAUAUGCGUUAUUGGCAUUUUUGAAUUAUUUGCAGUUACCAUUACUUAACCGUCUUUACAUUCACUCAUGUUAAUGAGAUUUUUCUCAUCACCAGUCAUGUGAUUGGAAUAUCCUGAAUCAACGAUCCAAUAAUGUUCAUAAUCGACCAAUUUCUCAUUUACAAUUGCAAGUGCAAUCUCUUCUUCUUUGUUAGGGUGACACAUGACAAGAUCCUCUUGUUGAUUAGUUUCUUCAACUGUAUAAGAGGUCUCGAAAUCCCAAAUUUCUUCAUCUUUCUUGUUUUGAGUAGAAUUAUCUACAUUACCUUCAGCUUUCCUGUACAGUAGUCCUAGCAUAGUGUCCUUUCUUUCCACAAUUGUAGCAUUUCUCCAUUUUUCGGUUGUUGAAGCCUUUCGCCUGCUUGUUUUGCCGUUGAGUUCUUUGAUGUUGAUUCUUUUUCUCUCUCCCUGGCCGCGAGCUUCUCUUUUUUUGAAAGUCUUGCCUUUUGUUGAAAAGCGCCUUAUCUUCGUCUUUAUAGUGACACUUUAUAAUGGCUUCUCCAAAUCUUCUUCACUUGCCAACAAAUUUUCCAACUCAGAUAAAGUUGGUUCUGUGGCCCAUCCCCAUGUAGCUGUAAUUAUGCCUUUGUAUUCCGGCCUUAGACCAUGAACAAUGAUUCUCCUCAUUCUCGUCUCUGUGAUAGCAUUCUCUGAAUCUAAUUUUGAUAUUUCAUCAGAUAAAGAUUUUACCUUUGAGAAGUAUUGACUGAUCGUCAUAUUCCGUUGAGAGAUCGACAAAAGCUCAUUUUCAAGUCUUUGUAAUCUUGCAUCAUUUUUCUUUGUAAAAAUCGAUGUCAAGGUUUCCCAAUCUUCUUGGGGUGCCUUGGCAUUCUUAAUUUGUUGUAGGAACUCAUCCUCGGUGGUUACAGUGAGAGCAUACAUGGCCUUUCCAACUUUGACCUUCUACCUUUUUGCUGCUUCAACAUCUGUUGGUGGUGUGGUGUUUGAUCCACUGAUGAUAUCCCAUAAUUCUUGGCCGAGAAAGUAAUAAUGCAUUCUCUGCUCCAUGAUCCGUAGUUGCUUGUGUUGAGCUUCUCAACGCUAUUGAGAGUGCUUGCGAAAUCUGCCAUUGAUAAGUGCCUCACGACUUGUAGCCUCUGACAAUAGCUUCUAAGAUUUUCUUUACUACCUCGCUCUUAUCCACCAGGCUCUGAUACCACUUGUUAAAUAUUGUUUGAGACGAUGGACACAAUUGACUUCUCACAACUUGAUUUUAUUAUAUCAAAGUAAGGACCCGCUUCAGUCUUACAAUCUUGAUCACACUUGUUGCUUGCUUCAGCAACACUCUUUACUUGAGCACACACUUGUUUGAUCGCUUGCUUUCUUACUUACUUGCUUGCUUACUUGGUUUGUUACUUAGUUACAACUCAAAUGGACCACCUCUAUUUAUAGGAGGUGAUGGAAGAAUCUAUAGAGAUACAUACUACUCUCUUCUAGAAUAUUUCUAGCUAUCUUUUUCUAGAACUACCUUUUCUAUAACAUUUUAAGACUAUUCUCUCUAGAAUACUCAUUCUAGAGAUCUUCCUUCCAUUCUCUACAACUCCGAAAUAUUCUAGAUUUUUCUUGAUUUAUCUUACUUAAAUAAUUAAGUUGGUGAUAAAUUCUUAACAAUGGUAAUGAUCUUUAUACUCAAAUUUGACCUAAUUAUGUAUCUUUUUCUUUUAGCGAACGAGUUUUCACCAUUGAUUUGUUUAAUUGUAUCAUUGAGAACUAAUCAAAAUGUGUGUACUGGUUUUACUUUAAGCAUGAAAUACUAAUAUGUACUGUGGAGUGUUGCUAUUAAUUUGGUCUAGAAUAGUUUAUGAUUUUUUAUAUUCACAAUAUCAUUUUUUAUUAAUAAAGUACAUUUAUGUAUGUAAUGUCUACAAUAAUUACAACAUAGCUAGUGUAGUCGCACAAGUGGGGUCUGAGGAGGGUAGGAUGUACGCGGACCUUAGUUCUAUCUUUGCGGGGCAGAAAGGUUCUUUUCAAUACAUCCUUAGCUCAAACGAGAAGGUAAUCAAAGCAAGGUUGCAAGGAAAUAUGACAACAAAAAUAUCAGGAUAGAAAGAAAGCAAAUGAAGCAAUAGAUUGUAGAACACCUUGGAGCAUAGGAAACUACGUGAUUACUAGAUACUACUACUAAUAAGGCUAUUGGGGGGGUGGGGGAUGUGGCUAGCGCUUGUCUCUCCCAUCUAAAAAUAGGGGACAACACUUGGCUAUAUACUAGCAUUCUACCCUAAUUCUUGACUUCCACACCUUUCUAUUUAUGUCCUCAGUAAUUUGGAGUUAUGUCAUAUCCUGUCUAAUCACUUCCCCCAUCCCAGUUUUUCUUCAGCCUACCUCUACCUCUUUUCUUCUCUCAAUUUCUCAAUUUGCCCGUCCCCUUGUCAAAUCUUUUUCAUCUACGGACGUCACGUCACUCUUUGCCUUUUCAUCAACAAGGUGGGGAACAAAACAAUCCUCUUCUUCUUCUUCCCCCAUUUACGUAGCUGCUGUGGAAACCCUAGAAUUAAUCCUGAUGGAAUUGAGCUUUGUUCCUCUUCUUCAAUUGGUUGUUGAAUCUGAUGCGUGAAUUGGUUCGAUCUAUUGCUUCGAGGUCGGUCGAAAUUUUCGAUUGGCGGAGUCUAAAAUGGAAAAUCAAUUACAAUUGGCCUUGACCAGUCCUACUACGCCGUUCUCGAGCUUGUUCGACUCGCAGAAGGAAAUUCUCAAUAGCCAGAUUUAUCAGCUCCAAAACAUCAUUGUACAACAAUGUAACCUCACUGGCGUCAAUCCCCUCUCUCAAGAGAUGGUUCGUUUUCUUAAUCUUUGUUUUUUUCUGAAGUUUUUUUUAUUUGAGUACUUGUUUCUCUUAAAAUUCUGAAUUUGCCUCUUGUACUUUGUUGGUAGUGAUUGUUUUAGGAAAUGUAGGAACUAGCAUUGGUUAAGUUGACAGUUCUUAAGUUUUAUGGUUAACUAGAUCCACCUUUUACAGUACAGAAAUAGUAAUGAAUUUAUGUUUAUGUAAGUCAUAAGUGUAACAUACUAUAUGUGGUUGUACAAUUGAAGGAUUAAAUUUUUAAAAAGAACUUUUUAAAGGCUUUCUGUCAUUCUUGCUGUUAUGCAUAAUUUCUUAUUUCUUUUGUUCCAUAUGCUCCAAAAGAGACAAGAAAGUCCCAUCUUCCAUGCUUGCUCCUUUUUAUUUCCAAGUGUAUCUAAUUUUUUUUGAUGACAAAGUGUAUCUAAUUUCUAACACAUGAUUGCUUUCUUAGGUGUCCUUGGUUAAUUAGAAUACAAGAUUUCACAUCUGUUAAAGCCAACCUUCAUGCAACAAUAAGUCGUUAGUAUCUUGUCCAGAUUCUUUGACAUGUGCAACGCUAACUUACAAGUAUCCUUGCCUCUUUCUUAAACAGUCCACACUUGAAGUAGCACCUCAUACUGGACAUAAAAAAAGCGAGCUACUUUCUUCCCAUCACUUAGUGGUCAUAACGUUUUCCACCCAUCCCUCCCGUCUCCCAACCUAAAGGUCCAAAUAAAAGUUUUUAUCUAUAAAGACCUUGUCCCUUCCUCCUUCAUUUCAUUUUAUUUCACCCUUCCAUGUAUCAUUACAUACUCUAUGAAAGAGUUCCUUAACUUUCCAGUUUAAUUUUUAAUGGAAGAACUCCCUGACUGCAUUCCUUUCCCAAUCUUUAAUGACCCUCCUAAAACUUAUACUGAUACCCUUAAAGGUCUCAGUGAAGUAAUCAGUUAUCAAAGUAUCUUUCUCUUUACUAAUCCAUUUACAUGUGUAUAUGCAUUCUCUAUGGCUAUCCCUUCAGACUAUACAUCCUUUCAAAACCUAACACUAGAGUCAUCAUUCAUCCUAGAGCCAAUACAUCUAUCCACUCAGUCCCUCACCAGAAAUCAUCCACCGCGUGCUAUUCCAGUUUUAGUAGAUAUGAAAUUACCCGAUACCUGUAUAGACUUACUCGGUACUUGUGUUUGUGGGAGCUUGCAAGUACUAAGCUCCCCUAGACACCAGUGUCAUAAAAAAUUUAGAGCUUGAAUGGGUUAACGGAUUGAAAAGUAGCCGAUAAGCAUUGUGUGCUGAAAUUGAUUUUAUAAAUAAGUUGUAAUGUAUCAUCUUUCUUCUCCUUAAAAAAGUAGUUAUGUGAUCGUGUAGAAGUGCUAAAAUUGAUAAUAAGCAGUUAAAAUGUUUGGUUAAAAAGUGUUGAUAAAUAAUUUUUCCAUUAAAAUGACUAAUAUAUCCUUAAAGUUAUUUUCAAAAAUUAUAUAUUAAAAAGUAUGUACACAAGGAGAAGAACAAACAACAGAAUGUAAUGGAAGCGAUUUUAAGAGUCAUGUUUUGAGAGGAGAAUUUUGAAAAUUUAUAUAGUUUUAGGCAAAUUAGAAGUGCUUGUUUGCCGAAAAGCGAUAAGUUGGAGGUGACCAACUUGUGUCUUAUGUUGAUUUUGGCUUAUAAGCAAUUUAUGUGUUUACCAAACAUGUAGUUAGUAGAUAUAAUAACUUUUGAUGACACAUUAUCCUCUUGAGAUUAUCCCCAUAAUCAUCUUCUUAGAAGUGCUGUAUUGAAGGUGAAUUAUCUCUUUUCUCUUUUGAUACAGAGAAAUCCGUGUUAUGUGUUUACCAAACAUGUAGUUAGUAGAUAUAAUAUCUUUUGAUGACACAUUAUCCUCUUGAGAUUAUCCCCAUAAUCAUCUUCUUAGAAGUGCUGUAUUGAAGGUGAAUUAUCUCUUUUCUCUUUUGAUACAGAGAAAUCCGUGUGGAGCCAACUCUUAGGACCAACCACAACUUUCAAAACUCGGGGAUAAUGAGCCCACACCCCUAUCUCCUGAUUCCUAACCUCUCUCUGUAUCCUCUCUACCAAAUUUCCCUUCCUUUCUUCCCUAGAAAAUUUUUGAUCAAUUUCUCCAGUUUGUUUGCUCGUAAAUACUACCACGAUACAUGAUUUAUAAGUUGUUCACAAAAAUGAGAUUCCUCUGCUGAAUUAAUUUUUCUAUUCUUGGAUUUGUACAUACAUAGGCUACAAUUAUCAAACCUCAUCUCAUUACAUUGGGUGAUUUGGGAACUUAUUUCUGCUGAUGGCUCAUUCAUUUUUCUUCCGUUGUGCAGGCUGCAGGAUCUCUUUCAAUAAAAAUUGGUAUGACUCCUUGGCCAAAAUUAAAAUCAUGAUGCUUGUGUAGUUGAGUAAAAAAUUUAGUUGACUUGGAUCCCUUCUGAGAAUGAACACACAGGAGCUCAUAUUGACAUAUUCAUUUAUUACUCUUAUAUUAUUUUUUGCACAUUGAUUAUACUACGUGGAGCAUGUUGCUUUUGUUGGGUGGUUCUUUCAUUUUAUUCUGUUUGAUUUGCUUUUUACUUAUAUAUUUGUUUUUUAUUUUAUUUGCUUUUUACGUAUCAUCUUUUUAAAAAAAUUAUUUGCUUUAGUAGUAGUUUUUUUUUGUUGCCAAGUAUAACAUUGCUUUUAUGUACCAGAAUUACUUGUCUUGAUGUUUAAGGUGAACUUGCUUAACAAUCUAAGUUGCUACUGUCAUCUUAUAUUUACAAGCUGAUGCUUUGAUCCAAAUUAUAUGUAACGCGUCUUUUUAGUUAUUAGCGUAAAUGACGCUCUUGACUUCUUCAAUUUUUGUGCAAGCUACUCUGAUUCCAUUUGUAUUCUGUUAGUUUAACAUCAUCUGUUGCAGGCAAAAGGCCAAGGGAUCUCCUAAACCCCAAGGCAAUCAAGUAUAUGCAAUCUAUUUUCUCUGUCAAAGACGCAAUCAACAAGAAGGAAAUGCGUGAAAUUAGUGCUCUUUUUGGUGUCACAGUCACACAGGUGUGUUGCUUUUUCACAGUUUUUAGUAAUUAUUUCUCCAUUCUAUCUGGCUUGAAUUUUGUUUAAAACUUGUCUACAUUAGUGAAUGUCGAUUAUUUUAAAUGUGAUUGGAUUCCUUGUCUAGAAUUUGAGUUAAGAUCAUAGAUCAAGAAGAGCAAUUGUUUGACUUGUAAAUCUCAGUAUCUCUCAUUUGUUUCAUGAGCAAUGGUUUGACUUGUAAAUUUCAGUAUCUCACAUUUGUUUGAUGCUAUGAAGUGCAAUAAUCCUAUGCUCAUGAGUUGUCAUUGUUCAAAAGAAUUUUUCCAUGGAAUGUCACUCUCAAAAACUAUGAAAGGAGCAUAUGUUGGUGGCAUUUGCAUACUAGUUGCACCAUCUUUCUUUAGUUCAGUUUUGCUAUUUUGGAUAUUAGGAGCACACUAGUGCUUUCGAGAACAGGCUAUUAUGGAAUUAUGCACCUUUUUGUGUUUGAUGAUGUAGCUCCUUGGCCCUUAGAAAUACAUUCCCCUUUCUCCUUCGCUUUUUUGGGUGGUUUAGGUAUGGAAAGAUUCCUUAAUCCCUUCUGCAUAGACAUUCAGUAGCUUUCCCUGGUGCAAUUUAAGCUGGAAGAUGAUAUAAGAUCUGUGCAUUCUCCGAUUUCAUCUUCUCUGACAAUUUUCACGUUGUUUGUUUGAAUAUCAUCUUUGCAUUUGCAGGUUCGGGACUUCUUUACAGCUCAGCGCACAAGAGUUAGAAAGUUCCUGAGGUUGUCUAGAGAGAAGCCUAUCAUAACCAAUAUAUCUAUUGAAGGGCCUUGUCUGAUCCCAUUAAGUUCUGAUCCUAGUUCACAAACAGAACCAGUUCCCCUAGACAGUGCGGUACCAACCUGUACAGAGGAGGGGCCAUCUUAUUUGACACAAGAUGAGGUCCUAACUGCCAUAGAGGAGAGGGAUAGGCAUUUUGUUGAUAAUAUCCUUACUUUAAUGUGUAAGGAAGAAACCUUUUCUGGGAGGGUUAAGCUGAUGGACUGGAUCUUGGAAGUACAAAACCCCUCUGUGCUAUAUUGGUACGUAAGAGUUGUGGUCGUUGAAUUUUAAUUGUAUUCUAGUUUACUCCUUUUCGAAUAUAAUUUGUUUUCUUAAUAACAUAUUUGUAGGUUUUUAACUAAAGGGGGUGUAAUGAUCUUAUCUGCAUGGUUGAGUGAAGCAGCUGGAGAAGAGCAAACCAGCGUUCUUCAUCUCAUCCUGAAGGUCCAUAUUGAUCCUUUAAUUUUAGAUCAUUGGCCCAUUAUGUCAUUUUUUCUUCUAGAAUAUUGUUGUUCUAAUUGUUACUUGGUUAUCAGGUACUCUGCCAUCUUCCUUUACACAAAGCAUUUCCUGGACAUAUGUCUGCUAUACUGCAGAGUGUUAACAGUCUGCGAUUUUAUCGGACUCCAGGUGUGUUGUCCUCGCAUUCAACAACUCCUUAUUUUAUCUUUAGGUAUCUUUCUGUUAAAAAGACAUUAAAAAACUUAAUCUGCUCAUCUCCAUGGCUUAUACAUUUCUGGUAGCUUGUCUGAAGCUUGUGUAUUAUUGAUAUUAUGCCGCAUUACAGAAUUUCCUGAAACUUAGUUGGAUAUUUAGGAAACAUGUCAAUCAAAGUAAGCACAGCUUUUUAUACUAGCAGUGGCAUCUCUACUGAACUAUUUACUCAGUGAAUCACACAUUACAUAGUGCUGCUCUUAAGAAUUAUGCGUAUAUGGCAUGUCAUAUUAGGACAUUACUUUCAGAAAUCACUGUAUUGGUAAUGCAAUCAUUUUCAGUAUUUCGUUAUCUCAGACGAUCUGUUGUGUUUUUGCUGUCAAAUAGGACAGUGUUCUUGGAAACUAUUUCACUGGCAAUACAUUCAACUAUAUCUUUCUUAACUUCAGAUGAAUUUUUGGACUUUCAAUCUGUAAAUUUUUUAAUGAUCCUGAUUUGAUACUUCAACUGAUCAUAUUCUGAGAGACAAUGGAAAGCAUCAUCGAAUAAAUAUGUUUAUUUCUAGCUGCAUCAGUUAUAUAAAAUUUGUUAGAUAAGAAGACACUACUAAAAUAGAUGAUGUUGCAUUUUCUUUUAUUUGUAUCAGCCGGUCAGAGUAAUUUGCUAUUUCGGUGGGGUUUAUACUGUAUUUUCAUGAUAGCUGGCUUCUGUACUGCACUAUAUUUGUAUUUUUUGGGAUGGGGAGGGGGUGAUGGGUGGUUGAGAAACCCUUCUUUAGCUCCAUCAGUAUUUUGGAUCUCAUUCAUCUCAUUUGAAGAUCAGAUAUCUCAGACAGGGCAAGUAUUUUGCUUGCAAGAUGGAGCAACAUAUUUGCAAAGAGCCAGGCUAUGAAGAAACGUAAUGGGGUUAAAUCUGCUAGUGAUAUGCAUGAUGAGUUGUUAUUGCAGCAGAGGUAAGCUUUGGUCGUGCCUCAAAAAUACCUUUAUGGCUUUUCUCAGUAAUCAACACAUUUGUUGCUGUUUGCAGCAUUAGCGAAGUUGUGGGUAACGAAGUAUGGAACUCAAAAAUUGAGGACGUUGUAAGUUUAUUGCGUACUUAAAUGUAUUUGGUUUAGAAGAUGCUGGUUUUUUUGAAUAAAAAAGAAGAGCGGAUUUUUAUUCUUGCUUGAUCAUUUUCCUUCUGUUUGGUAUUCUAGGAAGAAGCUCGUGCAAACCUCUGUGGGACUUCAGAGAAUUCAAGGUCUGGUGUGUUCUUACUACCUUGCUUUUUGUAAUUGUUGAUGAAUUUCUAAGCACACACCUCUCUUUCAGGAAUUUGGAUUCUCCACAUCCAGUUAAAUUGCUUAUGGCAUCUUCAGAUGACUCUAACAAGAGGCUUAAAGGAGCUUUGGUGACUAGUAUCCUUAUAUUCCCCUAUGGUUAAUUCAAUUUGUCAAUAACUUGCAGUGUUAGGUCUUCAUUUAUCUCGAUUGAAUGAUGGCUCCUCGUUCCGUGGACAAUAAACUGUCGUUGGAAGAAAUUUUGAUUUCUCAUUUGUUUCCAUGCUUUGGAAUCAUUGGUAUUCAGAAGUUUCCAUAUGACAUACUCAUCAAAUAGAUUUGAGCAUGGUAGGGAAAAUCGCUAUGGUUUUUCCUCUCCUUUUCUGAUUUCUUACACUUGCAUAGAAUGCCUUAACUACUUCAGAAACUCGAGAGCGCAGAAAAGUUCAGCUAAUGGAACAACCAAGCCAAAGAACAACGGGAAGGAGCCUAGGAAGACCAGCACCUGCAACUCAAGGCCGCCCACUCUCAGCAGAUGAUAUCCAAAAAGCAAAAAUGCGUGAACAGUUUAUGCAGAGUAAAUAUGGGAAAACUAAUAAUGAUGAGAGUUCUUGGGUGAAGCCUCAAGCUCCAAAUGGAAUUACCUCUUCACCAAAUGGUAUCUUGCUUGGAGCUCCAAAAUUGCAAGAUUGGCCUAAAGUUGAGGAAUGUGAGAAGCUCAAUAGUGUUGCCUCUAAAGGGACCAGUCAGCUUGAAAAUCAUCUCAAGUUGAGUUUUGACGUAGAGGAACCUCCAUCGAAAAGGUGCAAGAAAAUGCAGAUCCCUUGGCGGAAACCACCAGGUAAAUUUGCUGUUGUUGUUGCUGAAAGACCGUUCUUGUUAAUCU
Molecule: long non-coding RNA, 21730 nt
Filed under: Solanum tuberosum (potato)
Lineage: Eukaryota; Viridiplantae; Streptophyta; Magnoliopsida; Solanales; Solanaceae
Description: long non-coding RNA (STUB_LNC009345)
Source: RNAcentral